CCUACGGGCGGCAGCAGUAGGGAAUUUUGCGCAAUGGGGGAAACCCUGACGCAGCAACGCCGCGUGAUCGAAGAAGCCCUUCGGGGUGUAAAGAUCUGUCAGCGGGGACGAAACCUGACGGUACCCACCUAGGAAGCACCGGCUAACUCCGUGCCAGCAGCCGCGGUAAUACGGGGGGGGCAAGCGUUGUCCGGGUUCAUUGGGCGUAAAGAGGUCGUAGGUGGCACGGCAAGUCUGGUGUUAAAGGCGGAAGCUCAACUUACGUAGGGCACUGGAUACUGGCGGGCUUGAGUGCGGGAGAGGCAAAGGGAAUUCCUGGUGUAGCGGUGAAAUGCGUAGAUAUCAGGAGGAACAUCGGUGGCGAAGGCGCAUUGCUGGGCCGUAAUUGACGCUGAGGAACGAAAGCCGGGGUAGCAAAUGGGAUUAGAUACCCUUGUAGUC
This 441-nucleotide ribosomal RNA is filed under the name uncultured bacterium. Its description in RNAcentral is "partial 16S ribosomal RNA". It matches the Rfam family "Bacterial small subunit ribosomal RNA", at positions 338 to 795 of the family's 1533-position model. The record is from RNAcentral.